Molecule: ribosomal RNA, 253 nt
Filed under: uncultured bacterium
Lineage: Bacteria
Description: partial 16S ribosomal RNA
Rfam family: Bacterial small subunit ribosomal RNA
Source: RNAcentral
UACAGAGGGUGCGAGCGUUAAUCGGAUUUACUGGGCGUAAGGCGUGUGUAGGCGGUUAUUCACGUCGGUUGUGAAAUCCCCGGGCUCAACCUGGGAACUGCUUCCGAGACUGAAAGACUAGAGUACGGUAGAGGGUGGUGGAAUUUCCGGUGUAGCGGUGAAAUGCGUAGAUAUCGGAAGGAACAUCAAUGGCGAAGGCAGCCACCUGGGCCUGUACUGACGCUGAGACGCGAAAGCGUGGGGAUCAAACAGG